Molecule: ribosomal RNA, 2958 nt
Filed under: Triticum aestivum (bread wheat)
Lineage: Eukaryota; Viridiplantae; Streptophyta; Magnoliopsida; Poales; Poaceae
Description: partial small subunit ribosomal RNA
Source: RNAcentral
AUGGCAUUAUUAUAUGGGAAGUGUUUGUGGCCGGGGCGCCGGUCGCGCUCCGUGCGUUGGAUCUCUUUUGAUCCAAGGACGUUGUCUGUGCCACGUGUCACCACAGACGCAUGUUUUUUUAACGCGCACGGGUUAUCCCUUCCCCAGUUUUUUGCUGCAACCGCACGGGGGCGUCAUUUCGGUGCGAGGAGGCAGGGCGACCUGCGGGCGACGGGCUUGUUGGCGCCUGGAGAUCAGGAGCGGCGGCGGCGGCCUAGGGCGGAUCUCGAUUCUCCGGCGAUCUAUGGCUUCCCCGGAUGGGCCGAAACCAACUUUGUACUUUUGCAAAUGUUUUACAGAUUUUUUAGGUGUUCUUAUGUCGCAGGCACCGCUGGUGAGAAUGAAGGGAGUAAGAAGGUUAAGAAGAAGAUCAAGAAGAAAGGCAAUCUAUGUGGCUUUAAGUCAAGGUUUAACUCAAAAAGGCUAGCUAAGAUUGGGAAGCAAGUAACACCAGAAAAACAGAGAAUCAUAAGGGAGGGACCGUUUGGAGACUUGUUGGACAUCCGGUCUUUCAAGGUGCCCCAUGAGCUCAUUGAGUUUGUUGUGAUGAACACGAAUCACAUACUCUCUGAGUUCAAACACAAGAACAAGUCCAUCACCUUCAGCAAGCUCAUGAUGAAAAGGAUUUUCAACGUGCCAUCCGGUGAUAGACCCGUGAAGCUUCUUAAGAAGAGUGAUGAACAUGAGCUUCGCAGCAUCUACAAGGAGGGGAACAGGGCUCCAAUCGCCCAUGUUGUCAAGUUGCUCACUAGUUGCAGCGAUGAGGACGUGGUUAUGAUAAAUAGGACUUGGACACUCCUUGCGUUGGCAACAGUUUUGUGCCCAAGCACUGGCAAUAUCGUGAAUCUUGAGUAUCUAGCUUCCUUGGAAGAUAUGUCUUUGGUGCAUGAAUUCGCUUGGGAUGAGCACUUGUUGGCACGAGUGAUGGAGGAGGUUGGAGUCUUUCAAGAGAAGAAGAGGAUGCAAGCAAAUACAAAAAAAGCAGCGGAGUUUCAGAUCACUUCAUGCCUUCCCAUGUUAGCGAUCAUAUACAUGGAUCAUAUUGAUAUUCCGGCCGGCCUCCCAAAUGAGCAUGCCAUUGAUUAUUUCGUGCUGAGGAUACGUUUUGUUUGUCAAAAGGAUUUUGAUUGGUUGGAUAAAGUUGACAAGAACAAGCUCACUCUUGUCCAACCUUUCUACGGCAAACGCACCCAAAUACGGAGUUUGUGCAACACCCCCUAUGCAGCACAACUCGUGGGACAAGAAGUUGGUGCUGAAGCAGCCAGUGGGCAGGGAGUUGGUGCUGAAGCACCUAGUGGCCAAGGAACUAGUGGCCAAGGAAGCCAAAUUCAAGGUGCUGAAAUUCAAGCAAAGGACUCUCAAUCAAACGAGGCUCAACAAAAUGUUGAAGCUGAACCACACCUAUCAUCCUCGCUCAACGAUUGGCUGCAGCAAUCAUUCCCUAGCAUGCAAGAUCUAAGGGUACCAACUCAGUUUCAAAUGCUCUAUGACAAGCACAAGGGUAUUUUUGCAGCAGAGGUGGAUGGUGUAGUAGGCAAGUUUGGACAGUGUUUAAAGGAAUUGCAGUGCAACCGGAUGGCUACUCUCCUUCGUGAUGUUGGAGACGCCAUCACAGCUACCAAUGAACCCAACUUUUCCUUUGAAGCACCUAUCAUGGACGAAUGUCGCGGAAAAGAGAAUUAUGCUAAAGCUGCAAAUGCCGACAUUGGUGCUCAAGCUCAAGCUCAAGAUACAACACCUAGCAUCAACAAGGAUGAAGUCACCGGAUUGAACCUAGAAGUUGCAACAGAGGCUGCGGAAACUUGUGAGCAACAAAGAGUGAGUUUCGAGAUGGAAGGAAACGCCUCACCUCACAGCCCCCCACUCUUCUAUGAUGCACCCAGGAGUGCGACAGCCAGCAUUUGGGACGACGAGCCAUCCUGUGAGUUGUUCCCAAAGGGCUCCGAAGACUAUGAGAUGAUGCAUUCCACGUAUGAGCCUAUAAUUAAGAAGAGCACAGUCAGCCCCAUCUAUGCAAACAUCCCCGUGUUUCCUGUUUCAGAUGAUGAUGACAGCCCAACUCUUAAGAUGGUCGCUACAGAAGAGCAUUUUGCUGAUGCAAGCAGUGGCCCUAGCACACAUGACAAGAACACUAGGAAGAAGAGGAUGGCCAAAGUUCCAGCCAUAAAAAAUACCAAGGCAAAGAAGCAAAAGGUCGACAAGGCUGCAGAAAUGUAUGAGAGGACACCUUUCAUCAAGCUAGGUGGAUUUUACAUUGGAUACAAGAAAUUCCUUGUAUGCUUCAAGCCUCGUGGGGAUAUGAAUGAUGAGGUCAUGUCACUAUGUAUCGAGAUGAACAACAUUGCAUCCCGUGCAGCAAAAGAACCGGGGCUGAAGAAAUACAUUUUCUCAGUCCACGCAGGGAUCCUACUAAAACAAGACCCAUCAACUUUCCAACCAGCAAAACUCAUGGCUGAGCUUGAAAGGGCUAUGAAAGUGUUCAAGGUUCAAAAGUUUGACCUCCUCUUUUUCACAAUUGUUCAUGAUCGCCAUUGGAUAGUUGUUUGCGCAAACUUGCUUCACAAGCAUUGGAAUGUAUUUGACUCAAUGCAUUCAAAAGGAAAACAAUCUCCUUUGAAGAAGCAAGCCAAUAACCUGAUCACAAACUUUGCAACCCUCGCACAAGAGUGCAGCGAAUUCAAUGUCAAUGUUGGAUCCUUCGCCCGUGUUGACCUAGAGGAUUACCCAAAGCAAGAUACCCUAUGUGAUUUUGGUUUUUUUGGGCUCAAGUAUGUGGAGAACUAUGAUGGGAAGUCAAUGAGAGAGUUCAAGCAGGAAGACAUGGCGCGAUACCGCAUCGAUGUGGCAUACAACCUUUUCAGCCACCCAAUGAACAACGCCCCAAAGGAGCGGGCGUUCAACGAUGAGUUGGCGGCUUGA